RNAcentral lists this ribosomal RNA (413 nucleotides) under uncultured bacterium. RNAcentral's name for it is "bacterial SSU rRNA". It matches the Rfam family "Bacterial small subunit ribosomal RNA", at positions 505 to 916 of the family's 1533-position model. The record is from RNAcentral.
GUGCCAGCAGCCGCGGUAAUACGUAGGGGGCGAGCGUUGUCCGGAGUUACUGGGCGUAAAGGGCACGCAGGCGGUGCGGCGCGUUUCGCGUGACAGCGGAGGGCUUAACUCUCCGAGGAUGCGAAAGACGGCGGCACUUGAGGGCCAGAGAGGGACACGGAAUUCCGGGUGGAGUGGUGAAAUGCGUAGAGAUCCGGAGGAACACCAAUGGCGAAGGCAGUGUCCUGGGAAGCAUCUGACGCUCAGGUGCGAAAGCUAGGGGAGCGAACAGGAUUAGAUACCCUGGUAGUCCUAGCCGUAAACGAUGACCACUAGGUGUGGGAGGUAUCGACCCCUUCCGUGCCGUCGCAAACGCAAUAAGUGGUCCGCCUGGGGAGUACGGUCGCAAGGCUAAAACUCAAAGGAAUUGACGG